UUACAUCUGCCGGCCACUGUUAUGUACAUUCAUUCCGUUAAGAAUCACCUAAUGUUGUGCGGACUCUCCCUAGCAAAUGAAUAUGAUGCAGCCCCUCGUAUUGACAACCUGCGGUAUAGAGAUCAACCCGUGCAUAAUAACUAGUCCUACAAAUCACAGAUUAAAAAUUAUAUAUAUAGCUACAAAUGGAGCAAAUCUAGAUAGAGCCGCAUAAUUCCAUGUGUGCAGUGUUGCUAUUUAUAUUUGAAGAUCAUCCAGCGUCAGUUCAUCGACUGACAUCAUCUUCAUACUUACCGUGAUGAACUGGGGAGGAUCAUCCAGACUAGAUGAACCAAGUAUGACUUCCCGCUUUAGCUUGGAUGUAAGCUUGCAUGCAAUUAAUAAUAUACCUCCGACCGAGUGGCGCCACCAAUGACAAACACAAAUAUACGCUGACCAAGCUUUUUGAAGUCACUCGACGAAUGCUUCAGCACUGAAUCACUGCAAAUUUUCCAUAUACUACCACGUGGCCGAGCCCAUGUACCACCUGUCCGUCUGGAUCUCAUAGAAUGAGCUGGUUGGUGAGCUGGGCUAGUUCUGACUGAGCUGCUCAUUGGCAGACCGUGGAAACUUGGGCUAGGGUCGUUCAUGCAAUAGUAUUCGUCUUUUGGUAAUUCUCCCUUGCUAAGCUUCUCAAUCAAGUCCUGUAUAAAAGGAUAAAAUCGGGAAAGUGCCCAUGUAGAUUCUUCCCCAGUUCGCUCCUUUCUAACAAUAUUUCGUUUACCUUGUGAACAUCAAAUUUAAACGUAAAACCUCCUCCCGAGGACUUUUUGGUGUCAGGGCCACAUAAGCAACGCAUAUUACUCACAGCAAUCAUGUCAUCAAAAAACAGAAAAUUUUACCUGCAUCAAUUUUUCACCCUUGUCACUUUCGAACUUGUCUGGGUUGAUUGCUGCAUAGAUCAUCAGCAAACGCAACUUUAAUUCAAAUAUUAAAUACCAAUUGUGUCCUCAAAAAAUUGAUUAAUUCUUUAGUUCCAGCAUCACCAAAUACAAGAUCUUGCUCUAGCUGUCCAACAUCUCGAAGACCUUGCUCCCUUAUUAUGCUAUUGAGUUUACCUGCAAUCUGUACAAAACUGAAAAGCUUCUCAAUUUGAUCGCUGUACUGUGGAAGAGCUUGAACCAUUUUUUGCAAAUCUCUAUUGGAUAUCUCUCCCCCAACCUUGCUUGCUGCAGUUGAGCAGCUUUAUUCUUGGACACAAAAUUGCUCAUCUUGUCAUGCAGAGUAAUCUCACAUCUGCUAUGUGGGCAUGCCGGAGCUCAACCCAUAUUGGAUCAUGAUCCUCCAAUAGGACAUCCUUCUUUUCAGUUGAUGAACCAUUUUUACUCGGAACCUCAUGGACAUACUUGUUGCCAUCCAUACAUAGAAGAUCAUGGCACAUCGCGUCAUAUGUCCAUUCAUGAAUGAUUGGUAUGUUUACAAUGUACCUGGUCUACUGAACGAUCAACUAUAAGUAGCUCACAUGUCUCAGUUUGAGGAUAAUCCGGUAUUGAUGUUUUCAAUUUUGAAAGGCAAUUCCAAACAGCAGCAGCAAGUUUUGUAGGCACUAAAUCUCGUAGUGUUGUCGUUACAGAAGCAUCAAUUGUCUUGGCGACACGGUAAAAUGUAUUCAUACCCUCAUUGAUGCAAACACUGUAGAUAUGCGAGUAGCCAUUGUGUUCAAACAAGCAUUGUACUUGUGUGAAUCCAAAGCAUUUUCACUAAAAAGCUCCUCCAAUGCUCUUUCAUGGUCAGUGGUGAAACCCUGCAUGCAAUCACUAGCAAUAUAACUAACCUCACUAAGUGCACCAAUACGGGGUAGUACACUUGAAUCUUUUUUUAUUUGAGUAACUAAUUCUUUCUGUAUGGGAGAACUGAAAAACACAUACGCCCUACAACAUGAUCAACAAUCUAUCAAAGUUGUAUAGAUUUGCUUACUUUUCUUUAGUUGGUUGAAUGAAAUAUAUAGCAUCUAGUGAAGGCAACGGUUGUCUCCGUUUGUACAAAUCUUCAACCAAUGAAACCCCUUCUUCUGUAAUAUCUGCCAUCUUACAUGAACAUGAUAUUAUCUUGACUGUAAGUGCCCAGGAUUCCUUACCUUCCAUGUUGAUUUUGAAUGUUUCCUAGUUGACCUGAGCAUUUCAAAUAAUAAACGGUCUCGCGUGAUUUGGCGGAAGCUCCGGUGGUCCCCGCCCUGGGAGGAGGUGUCCGAGUCCAUCGACAUGGCGCCGGAGAUCUCCCCCGCCUACUUCCGGCGACGCCGCCUCGGG
This 2288-nucleotide small RNA is filed under the name Oryza sativa Japonica Group (Japanese rice). Its description in RNAcentral is "sRNA Os02g0452550". Lineage: Eukaryota; Viridiplantae; Streptophyta; Magnoliopsida; Poales; Poaceae. The record is from RNAcentral.